GAUGAACGCUGGCGGCGUGCUUAACACAUGCAAGUCGAACGGUGAACCCGGAGCUGGCUCUGUGGGAUCAGUGGCGAACGGGUGAGUAAGACGUGAGCAACCUACUCCUGACUCUGGGAUAAGCGCUGGAAGCGGCGUCUAAGACAGGACAUGAUACGUGACCGCAGGGACUGCGUUUGGAAAGAUUUUUCGGUUGGGGAUGGUCUCGCGGCCUAUCAGCUUCUUGGUGAGGUAGUGGAUCACCAAGGCGUCGACGGGUCGCCGGCCGGAGAGGGGGACCGGCCACCCUGCGCCUGAGCCACGGCCCAGUCGCCAACGGGAGGCAACGGGGGGGAAUAUUGCACAGCGGGAGCGAGCCUGUUGCGGAGACGCCGCGUUGGGGAUGCCGGCUUGCGGGUUGAGAACCUCAUUUGGCUGAGAAGAAGCGAAAGUGACGGUACCUAAAGAAAAAGCGCCGGCUAACUACGUG
Molecule: ribosomal RNA, 469 nt
Filed under: uncultured bacterium
Lineage: Bacteria
Description: partial 16S ribosomal RNA
Rfam family: Bacterial small subunit ribosomal RNA
Source: RNAcentral